CGAAAACGUAUAGAGAGAAAAAAGAAAACCCUCUCUUAUCAACAACAGAACUUAAGUGCUUCCGCUCGAUUCAAGUCGAGAACACUACAGCCAUUUCUGGUAUGUUCUCUUCUUGACUGAAUAUUAUAUUAUUAGAUUGUGAAAAUCAUUUAGUUCCAAUUAACUUGGCUGAUAAAAGCAUUCUCCAACUGCUGAAUCUCUAAUUUAUUUUCCCAUAACGUAAUUAACUAUAAAUUUUUUAUGACCCAAAACAUCAAGUUUGUCCUAACAAAAUCCUUCCGGUCGGGAAAAAAACAACUAUAUCCACCAACCAUAAUUAAGAUAUCAAAUGCAACAGAAAUAACCCAAAAAUUCAAAACAAAAUUGAAAUAUUAAGAUUCUCAUGAUAACAUAAAUUCAAUUUUGUCUGUAUAAUCAUAACAUCAAAAUUACGACAGUCUCCAUUGACAUAUAACCUUCCAUAUCAUUCCAGAUCCAUAAGAAAACCAAAAACCGAGAAAAUAAAUUACAGAAAAAAAAUUAUAAAGGGGCACAAAAAAAAAAAAAAAGAAAAUUCAACGAAAAAUAAAAGAUUUAGAAAUCAAAUUAAUGAUAAAACCAAUUUUAGGGAAAAGGGAAAUGAGGGAUUAGUGCACAAUUGCACCCUAAUCGAUAAGUAAAAGUUUGGAUAAUCAAUCAAUUGAGCUACUAAAAUUUUUGAGAUAAAAACAAUCACAAUUGAAAAACAAAAUGGUUAGAGGAAGGGGAAACGGGGGAUUAUUGGACAAUCGAACGCUCACCAAUAAGAUAAAAAAGUUAAAUAACCAAAUCAAUUAAGCUACUAAAAUUUCUGAGAUAAAAAAGAGAAAAGUUACCGGUGUCGCCGAUGAUGAUAUACUUGAAAAGAUAAGCGUAAGACAUGAUGUUGAUGAGAGAUCUGAAGAGCGAAUACGUAAAUUAGCUCGUCAAUAUGAUAUAUGAUUAUUUAUAUAUACAUAUAUAAAAAAAAAAAAAAAAAUUAANNNNNNNNNNNNNNNNNNNNNNNNNNNNNNNNNNNNNNNNNNNNNNNNNNNNNNNNNNNNNNNNNNNNNNNNNNNNNNNNNNNNNNNNNNNNNNNNNNNNNNNNNNNNNNNNNNNNNNNNNNNNNNNNNNNNNNNNNNNNNNNNNNNNNNNNNNNNNNNNNNNNNNNNNNNNNNNNNNNNNNNNNNNNNNNNNNNNNNNNNNNNNNNNNNNNNNNNNNNNNNNNNNNNNNNNNNNNNNNNNNNNNNNNNNNNNNNNNNNNNNNNNNNNNNNNNNNNNNNNNNNNNNNNNNNNNNNNNNNNNNNNNNNNNNNAUUUUAUUUAUGAUUAUUUAUAUAUUCAUAUAUAAAAAAAAAAAAAAAAAAUUAUGAUGCAAUCACACCAAAUGAUUAAUUAUAUAUAAUGAAACAUUUUUGGUUGUUGUUGUGUGUAUAUAGGUUGGCUCUGUAAGAUUUUUAAAAACCUCUGUUCUUUUUUUCUCCCGUUGGGAGACGUCACCAGAAAUAAUAAAGGAAGAAGUUUUUUUUUUUUUUUUUUUUGUCAGUUUAACAAAUGACAAUAAGGCUGUUUGGUUGCGAAAAUAAUAAGUAUUUUUUUAGAGUUGAAAUUGAUGUUGUAUUUGAUCACUGAAGUUAUUUAUGAAAUUUUAUGAGAAAAAUAAAAGUUGAAAAAAGUGAAAAAUAAAUUUUAUUUAUUUUUAUUUUUUUAAAAAUAAUUUUUAUUAUCAAACACUACUAUUUUCACUUUUUUCAUUAAAGUAAAAUAAAUUCUCAAAAAAAAAAAAAAGAAGUGAAAAAACUCUCAUGGUCAAACGGCUACUAAGAAGUUAAGAGUGUGUUUGGUAUGCAUAAAAAUCUUUUCUAGAAAUAAAUAUUUUUCAAAAAAUGUUUUCUUAUUUUUUUCAUGUUUGAUUUGAUAAAAUUUUUGAAAAAUAUAUUUUUUGGACAAAAUAAAUCUUUUAAAACUAGGAAGAUCACUUUUAUAAUGGAAGUAAGAAAAGAUAAGUUCAACAAUUGUGUUAUAAAUGAUAAUGAAUGUCUAUCUUUUGGAGGAAGUUAGAGUUUUUCCCCCUGUAAAUAGAGGGUCUCUCUUUAUUGUAAUUUAUUUUUCAGUAUGAUCCCUUUCACGAUUUCAUUUGUCGGAUCGUAAAGACACGUGCUCUAAUUCACCUAGAUAGGAGAACCUCUUACCACCCUUUAAGAAAUUUAGGGAAAGUCUUUAUUAAAUAAUACAUAAGUAAGAUUUUAUUACAACAAAAUUACAAUAAUUGAAUUCAACAAAUACAAAAUAACCCAAGGACCUAGUCUAAACAUGUACAAGAACUUCUAAGUAAAAAAGUAAGACUGGACAAAAAUUUCACCAUGAAUAAAAGGAGUAGAAGCUGUGAAAAAAUCACCAUCCACGAUGAUCAUGAAAUCAACACUGAUUCCUAUAAAAAAAUAUACCAUACUGAUAAGCCUCAUCGGUCGCCCCGAAUAGGAUUACAUAAAAAUAACAUAAACAUUCAGAAGAGGACAUGGAUCUUAACAUUCAAAUUACUGAGCUUCGCCAUCACCCCAUUUCCCCAUUAUUGAAACCUAAUAAUUCCUUAACCCUAUCUCUCUAUUCUCAAAUCGAUUCAGUUACUUCUUGCUAAACCACCUGGUUAUGAACCUCGAGAUACUGCUCUUACCCUUAUGACUUCACUACCCUGAUUCACUAAUCCUAACCUUACAUCAAGGACUACUAUGAAUCAUAAAGAAACAAUUGCAUUUAGGUGAGCUUAACACAUGUCAAAACCUUAAUAAUCAGACCCAACAUUCGUAGGUAUAACCCACCCCGUCAACGAGACCUCAAGUCAUUAACCUAGACUUAGUCGAUAAUGUAUAACUUUAAUGCAAGAAGUACACUUAAAGCACCUUUAGUAUCCUUAACAAUGAGUCAAAAAAUAUCAACAAAUAUGUCAAAGUCAAGUGAAGUCAAGCCAAAUAAAGUCAAGUCAAUCACCAAAGUACAAUAAUACACACACACACAUAUAUAUAUAUAUAAUAUAUAUAUAUAUAUAUAUAUAUAAUAUAUAUAUAUAUAUAUAUUCAAGCGUGCACACACACAUACAUACAUACACGUCACGGGUCCUACAAUCGUCCACUAGUCAUGACCUGCAGGGAAUACCUCCUAUCCAUGUACUAAAUCACAGAUACAAGUGUCUGUCAAUCUUAUUCUAUCAACCUUAUGACAACAACCAACACUUGUAAUAUUCACAAGUUUUACAUAUGAAUUCAGCCCAAUGUGAUCACACCUAACAACAUGCAUUAACAAACAAUACUAAAAAAUAGUUAACAUGCACAUAUAACACAAGUUGGACUAGACUAUGUAUUCAUCACGUUCACUCCGUCUAGGGUCCUAAACAUGUCACCUAAAUCAACCCUCCUUUCUAACAUAUACAAUUCGUUACCACCCUAGAUUCUUCGGGAUUUAUAAACACCACAUAUUAUCAUUACUUUCUUUAAGGCUCUAGACUAAUGACCGAUAUUUCUCCCUUUCAACUACCCCAAUGAGAGUCUACAACAGUGUACCACCUAAUUUAUAGGGUCAACUAUAACAUAACAUGAUACAAAUAUAAUACAACCACCUUUUCAAUGUUACCCCAAUUUUUAAUCGAUUUCAUCCAAACACCGUAUUUGAAGGCCUAAUCAUGAAAUUUCUCGUUCAUCUAUGUUAGGUUCAUGCUUUCUAACCCGCGUAUGCAAUUCUCAGUUAAUCUUUGCUUACCAGGAUGUCUAGUAGCUGGUAUGAAUGCGUGAAAGGAAAAUUUGGCCCUGUGGAAGAAAAUUUGAACGUGAAUUCCUAAGAUUUUUAUGGGUCUUACUUCAUUCGAGUCUAAUCCCUCCCUUUUCCAUGGUUCUAUUGCUCAGAGGCAAUCCUAGAAGGAUUUUUGGAGACUUCCCGCUACAGCAAAAUGAUGUUAGCCUGAUCAUAAUAUUUUUUAAACUCCAAAAAAAUAUCUUGCAUUGUUUGACACAAGUUUUCAAUUGUAAUUUUGAUACUCUUUGAUCCCGUACUAAUAUCGAGGUGCUCUCUAGUAACGACAGAUUUGGUCAUUACAAUUCCUAAUCCCUCAAUUGAAUCAUAUAUCUCCUCUCUUUUCUCUAUUUUUCUUGUUCUAAUUUUUUAUUUCAUAACACGUUGUCGACAAUAAACUCUACCAUAUUGGGUAAAUGCUUUAAAAUGUCAAAGGAAAAUGGUUUGAAACACCCACUUACAUAAAGUAAAAUUGCUAAUUCCUUCGAUGUUUUCUAACAUUGAGGAGGAAGCACCAGGUGUGUAUAUAUAUAUGUGUGUGCGCGCGCGUGUGUGUGUUUGAGUUUGUAAUUAUGUCUUGACAUUUAGUUUGUGGUCAGCAGGUAAAGUAAUAUGAUUUUGAAAAAAGAUCUUGUCUCUGCAAAAUUUGAUUUCUUUUUUCCUAAAGGUUAAAUUAUCUAAAUUUUGUAGGAAAAUUAUUGAUUCUUGAUUUUUAAGUUCUCACGGCAGGGAUGGUACUUGAUAAUGGGUUGAACUUGAAAUUUGGGGUAUAAAGUAGCAUUGGUAGUUGAAGCCACAGGAAAAAAUUAGUGUGGAUUUCGGUAGUAAUAUUAUUAAUUAAAAUAUUGCUUCUAAUCAUGAAUACUCUUUGAGUUUAUAUAUUAGAUCUACAUAUGAAAAUUGCAACUAAUAUGAUGGUUAGUGUCAGACCGACACUCGAUACGUUAUAAUUUUCAAUUGUUAACUGAUCAUAUAAUAAUAUCUGUAUGGCUUGAAUUGACGAGUAUUAGUGCACUUUGAACUAUAAGUUGAUUGAUGGUAAGACGGUAGAUUCAAGUUCUAUAAUAUUAAAAGGAUAAGAUAUUGGGUUAGCGUCUGGAUGCACUAUGAUGAUAAUGUUGGGUACAAAUCCCAUCGAUUUAUGGCGUAAUACACCCUUAUAUGUAUAAGAUGCUGAGUUUGAAUCUCAAUGCACCAUAUUGAUAAUAUAAUGAUGACUAAGAAGAGUCAUGAAAUUGUCCUAUUGAAUAUGUUCCAUCAUUUGAAGCGAAUAUGGUAGUAAUCUACAAUAUGUCUGAAAGAAAAUAAAUGAUUGAAUAUAUGAAUAUGAUAAUGGAGGGACAAAAUAUUAGUAUUUUCUCAUGCUUAUUGUGUUUAUAAUUAAAGAUGUAUUAGAGAAAAUUCUCUAUAUCAUAUAUAAUUAGAGAAAAAUUCUCUAUAUCAUAUAUAUGCCUCAAUUUGCUCUUGAAGUGAUAAUAUUCUGAAAGAGGUUUUAAUUAAGCUAUCAUAAUUUGAUAGGCUUGGCACAAUUAUAUUCUAUUCCUGGUGAAUGAGAAUUUUGAUUAUUAUAAAUACUGAUCUAUUUUCUGGGGUGAAUAUGAAUAUACUUAGCAAAACUUAUUAAUUCAAACAUGUUCUUGAUUGUGAAGAUAUCACAACCCACCUUCAGAAAGGAAAGAACAAAUUAAGAAGAAAUAUUUUAAAAUAUACUCUCAAAGUAGUAAAUCUGAAAUUUACGGUUGAAUAGUGAAUACUAUGAAAUUUACUCCCAAAGUAGUAAGGUUGUGAAAUAGUAAAAUCUUGUAGUAAAUAAAAAAUUUACUAAAGAAAAAAGGUGCAUACCAUGAUAUAACUUGGAAUUUACUAGUACAAGUUUUAUUUAUUGGCUUGAAUGAUUUUGACAUUCCGAAGAUAUCCAUAUUGAGUAUUAGCUACUGAAGGACUUGAAGAUUCUUCAGAAUUGUUGUUCGUUCUCAUGAUAAGUUGAUUAGAUCAAUUAAUCUUGGAAUUGAAUCCACUAAAUUCUGAAAAGUAUAAAAGGUGAAUAAAGACUCGUUCACCUGUCAUGUGAUCUAUUAAGAUACAUCGAUAUAAGAUGAUCACAUUGUAUUUAUUAUCAACCUAACUCUCCAACAACUAAUUUUUUCUAAAGAUAACUCUGAAUUGAUUGAGUUAGCAAGAUGUACCGCUCCAAUUACAAUACAUAUCAUUCACUAGACUUAAGUAAAUAACAUUUCAUGAAACUUCAUGAGAGGCUUAGACAUCUAAGAACAAUAAUAAGAAGUGAUGAGUUCUUAAUAAGUUAUGUCUUAUUAUGAAUCGAUAUAAAUGAUAUUCCAUCAAUAAUAUCUUUGCUACAAUAUAAUGUAAUAUUAUAAAAGAUCAUGAGGAUCUGAAUCUAUGUCUAUUUAAUCAUAUUGAUGUAGAAAUAUUUAUAAAGUGACAUGAAAGGAUACAUCUUGAUAAGCAGAAAACUUAUUUAAUUUGCAGUCCUGACACUAGAAGAUGUCAUGUAUGAAAUGCUGAAUAUUGUUAGUUGACAAAAUUUAUAUAAAAAAUUCUUAAAAAAUCAAAAUGUUUGAAGCAUAUAAGAGUUUCUGGGAAACUUAUUUAUAAUCCUUUUAUAUUGCAUAAAUUGAUAAGUUGAAUAUCAUUGGAAUUCUUGGAGAGUUUUUUCAAAGUUACAAAUUAUCGGCUGAAAUGAGAAACUUGCCAAAUUGGAUUGGUCCUUAAGCACAAUAGCUUGUGCAAUUGAUGUAUUCAUACAUCUCCAAUAACUAUAGUUUACUCUUAUAUAAAGAUACUGAAAUAAUAUCACUUGCAUAUGGCAAAUGAAAGGCCUCACAUGAAUGUUUUUAUCCUAGCAAAUAGUGUUAAGCUUUUGAAUAUAUAGGAUAUUUAGUAGCCGUUUGGCCAUGAAAAUUACUUUUUUUCCAGAGUUGGAGUUGAAGUUGAAGAUGAAGUUGGAGUUGGAGUUGUGUUUAGCUAUGUCUUUUUAAUUUUUUUUUAGACUUUUCAAUUUUUUUUAAAAAUAUGAUUUUAUAUCCUCAACUUUCAAAAAUUAUCAAAAUCACCCAACUACUAAUUUACCUACUAACAUACAACCAAAUAUUGAGAAAAUAAUUUAUGUGUCUUCAAUUGAUAAAAUAAUGAACAACAAACUAAUUAUUAUGAUUGUUAUUCUUCUAAAAUUUGAAUAAAAAUAUCACAAGCACGGGCUAAAUAAGUUAUCUAACCAUAAUCGAUUGAAUAGAGAAAAAAUAUAUUUUAAUAAAUAUGAUUGAUAGAUAUAAAUAUAUUUAUAUUCUUAAAUUCGUUGAUGAAAAUUCUUAAUUAUUUUCACUUGAAUUAAUUAUUUUAUUGAAUUUGGUCUUUUUUUUUGUUAAGAAAUUACGAAAUUUAGUUAAUAAGAGGGGUUUGUGUAAAAAUUUAAAGAUUGAAGUUAGAUGUAAUAAUAAUGAAAGUUGGAAUUGGAAGUGGAAAAAGGGAAAACAACAAAAAGUUAUUUUCACCUUUCGAAAUUUAAUUCCGGAAUUGUUUUCCAAAUUUUCAUGGCCAAAGACCAUAAUUUCCAACUCCCUAAAAAUUUUUCGAAAAAAAAGGAAAAAUAUCCAUGGCCAAACGGGCCCUUAUAUUAUUGACAUAAGGGUUUGAUACAAAUCUAUUACCUAUUGUAAAAAGGAUUACUAUCAUGCCAAGUUAUUUUACAUGAAAUUCAAAUUAUGUCGAGUUAAUAGUUAUUCAUGAGGCAAGUCGAGAAUCAUGCAUGACCCAACUAAAGGAGAGAUUUAUUAAAAGAGAUAGAAUGGAGAACAUUUUGCCAAAAACUUUUCUAUGCAUAUAAGAAUAUAAGAAUGGUGACAUUAAUACGCAGCAGAUUCAUUCGACUAAUAAUAUGAAUGAUUAUUCACCAAGUCUCUACCAACUACAACUUGAGAAGAAGGUGCAAAAGAUUCGAAUGCAAAGAUUCAAGAUUUUGAAUUGACAUUCUUAUCAGGGAGAGCUUAUAUGCACUGUACUUUUUUUCUCUUUCAAGGUGUUGUCCAACAGGAUUUUCCUUAUAAAGUUUCUAAUGGGGUAGCCAAAAUGCAUAUUAUUAGAUGUGUAUACUCUUUUUCCUUCAUUGGAUUCUUUUUCAAUGAAGAUUUUCUAGUAAGGUGUUAACGAGACAUAUUAUCUAUAGGACCUCAUAUUUCUUGUAGAGAAUUCCUAAUUGUUCCAGAGCAACUAAAAAAAGAUUCUUUAACCAGAAAGAAUUCCGUUAAGAAACAAGUAAGAUUCUCUUAGCUCAGUCGGAAGGAUCUCAUAAUUUAAUUAUCCAUGAUUGUUUAUGUCUCUACCAUGACCACUUGAUGAAAUCUAGAAGAAAGUGGGGCAAUUAAACAUUUAAGGGGGAGUAUUAUAAGUGAUAAUAAAUGUCUAGCAAGAUAUAUUGAUUAUCUAUCAAGAUAUAUUGAGUAUCUAUCAUGAUAUAGUGAGUAUUUAUCAAGAUAAAAUAAAUGUCUAUUUUUUGAAUAAAAGUUAGGAGGUUUUUUCCCUAUAAAUAUGUCACAACCAAAACUAACGGACCGUACGGGCACCUGCACUAUCCUAAGUAGCUAGGAGAAUCAUUAUUAUCCAACUAAAAAUAUGUGAAAAACUUCUAUUUUUAAGGAAAUAUUGAAAUAAAUAUAACAAAGUAAAUUAAAUAUCAAUAAAUAAACUUUUUGUCAUGACCCGAGGCUACCCCCUUGUCGCGGCAACGGUGCUUAUGGUCACAAGUGACCACAGACUAACCUAUGAGAUGGUACCUACUGUGAGCACUGAAUACACUGGCAAUAAAACAUGUAUGCAAAAGAUAAACUAAUAAGGACAAAAUCAAUCUAAAUACUGAAAGCGUGAUUCAAUCACAAGUCUGUGAAUAUCUGAUAACAAUACUGAAAACUUAACUGAUAAUACUAAUAAACUGACUAGCUGUCUAACUGACUGUCUGAAUAUCUGAAAGCCUCUAAACUGACUGAGGAGUUGAUGGAAAAGCCCCAACUAACUCUAACCGACUAACUAAAAAAAAUGCAAAAACAACUGAAUAAACAAAAUAGGUCCUCGAUAUAUGGGGACUCACCACUACUGCUGCUGCCGAAAUGCUAGACUGUCUAAGUACGGUCAGGAAACUGAGCGUUCGAACCUAUGAUAUAACACAUCAUAGCGCAAAGAUGGGUGACCCUUGAGAGGAAGCCAAGCCUAACUGAUGGGUGACUCCACAUAUCCUAUGCUGGCUACGUAGUUUUGGAAUACAGGGACUGCUACUAACGACUCUGCCUAACUGAUGGGGAAGCUGCUAUCCCUAUAUUCGCUCGGUGCUCAAUCCUACUCCUAACUGAACUGACACUGAUUACUGGACUGAACUAAGUUAACUGAACAAACAAUUGUUUAUAAUAACUGAAUGAAUGACAAUGCUCAUGGUUUAUCUGAAAUCAUUCUGAAGAUACUAAAAUUAUGUAAACAAUUAGGUAUCGGGUGUUCAUAACCCACCAACACUGAAUCAAAAUAAUAAUGAUGACAUAUAAAGCUUUAAAAAUAACAUAGUAGGGGAUCAUUGCUCAAAAUCCAAUAUUUAUACAUAUCAUCAAACACAUGAGAGUCAUGAAUUUAAACAUUGUAAUGGGUAAAACAUGCAAGAAUAACUUGACCACAAUACUAAAACCAUGAAUUAGGAAUUUCAAUAUGAAGAUUUCAACACUCAAAACAUGUAAUGGUGCUUCUCAUCGAAAACACUUGUAAACUUAACUCAAAAUCAAAAUCAAUAAUAGUUUCAUGGAGAUAAUUCAACUUGAACAUAUAAAAUUCAUAAUUUAAAAAUAUAAAGGGAUUCUUGGACUCCAUGGGUGAAAAAGGCCCAUGGAUGAACAUUACACAUACCUUAAACCCUUAAUUUUGAAAGAGAAACACCAAUUUUGAUAUUUCUUGAAUGAUCUUGGAUUGGGGAACUUGAAUUCUUGGUUUUCUUGGAGAGAAAGUAAUGGAAUUCGAUGAUCUUGGGGGAGGAGAAGGUUUGUUUUUGAGAGAAAAUUGGAGAAGAUGGGCAAAUAAUGCCCUAAAUGGUAUUAUAAUUCGUGAUUUGACGAAUUGGGUUGAGGGGAAAAGACAUAAUUGCCCCUCAGGAAAUUAAAUUCAUAACUAGAAUGCGGUUUAUAAGGUCACCAUGAUGUGAUGAGAGUGCCAUCUCCAUUAUCACCACAACGCGAUGCUAUCGCGAUGAGUUGCUGGAAUCGUGAUCCAAACAUGACUCAAUUCUUAUCCAAAAAAUUCAAAAAUUCCCCGAGACAUGCUCCUUACACUCCUGAACAUGAAUUAACUCAAAAACCAACAUCUCGGGGUUAGGAAGACCAAUUUAAAAAUCCUCAAAGUUAAGAGGAUUUAAAAUAACUAAGUCCCCAAUACUUAGUGAAAUUUACAAGUUUUAAGCCUCUUAUGCAUAUAACUAGGACCUGAACUGAGCUAAGAAUACUACGGGGUAUUACAAUAUCUCCUCCUUGGGAACAUUCGUCCUUGAAUGAGACUGAUUAGGAUGAGAGUUCUAAACUAAAACAACUGAGGUCACAUACUGAAUAUGCAUAACUGAAAAAAUGAUUACAUGUCUGAGUCUGAAAUAUGAUACAUGAGCUAAACUGUUUUCGUGAAUGUAUGCAAUGAUAUGAGAAUAAUUAUAUAGUUGGAACUGAGAAUGGAAAAGAAAUAAUCUAAGGAAAACUAUUACCUUAAGCUGCGUUUGAGUUUGCAGAGAAAAGAUGAGGGCACUUGGUAUGCGUAUCUGCUUCUGCUUCCCAAGUGGCUCCCUCAGCGGACUGAUUCCACCAAAGAACUUUGACCAAGGAAACUUUUUUGUUCCUUAGUCUACGAAUUUGACGAUCGAGGAUCUCAAUUGGGAUUUCUUCGUAAGAAAUAAUAUCCCGAACAUCUGUGCUUUCUAAAGGAACUACAGUAGCUGGAUCACUAAUACACUUCUUUAAUAAGGAAACAUGAAACACCGGAUGUACUGAUGCCAAAUCUGUAGGAAACUCUAGCUCAUAAGCUACCUUCCUAAAAUGACUCAAAAUUCUAUAAGGGCUAAAAUAUCGGGGUAUGAGCUUCCCCUUCUUGCCAAAUAUCUUCACUCCCUUCAUGGGAAAGAUUUUUAAAUAAACCAAAUCCCAAACUUCAAACUUAAGAUCUCUUCUCCUUACAUCUGCAUAAGAUUUCUGAUAGCUUUGGGCUGUCUUAAGCCUUUCCCUAAUUAACUGAACUUCAUCCAUUGCAUCAAACACCAAAUUUAGGCCCUAUCAACACAUCCUUACCUGCUUCAAACCAACCAAUAUGAGAUCUAUAUCUCCUCCCAUAAAGAGCCUCAAAUAGAGCCAUCUAAAUACUGGAGUGAUACUUGUAAUUGUAGGCAAACUCGAUCAAAGGAAAGUGAUCAUCCUAACUUCCUUUAAAGUCAAUAACACAUGCUCUCAACAUGUUCUCUAGGGUUUGAAUGAUACUCUCUGCCUAACCAUCUGUCUAGGGAUGAAAGGUUGUACUGAGAUGAACUUGGGUACCCAGACCUUUUGGAAAGCCUUCCAAUAGUGAGAGUUAAACUGAGUUCCUCUAUCUAAAAUGAUAUGCAAAGGAUCUUCAUGCAACCUAACUAUCUCUCUAAUAUAGAGCUUGGCGUAGUCCUCAGCUAAAUAAGAAGUAUGAUCUGGCAAGAAAUGAGCUGACUUGGUCAUUCUGUCUACUAUAACCCUAAUCAAAUCAUGCUAAUGAGUCGUACGAGGCAACCCUGUCAUAAAAUCCAUAUUCACCUCUUCGCACUUCUAAGUAGGGAUGCUGAACUCCUGCAAUGUGCCACUAGGCCUCUGGUGUUCAACCUUGACUUCCUGACAGUUAGAACACUUAGCUACAUACUCUGCAAUAUUUCUCUUCAUACCACUCCACCAAUAGAUUUUCCGCAAAUCACGAUACAUCUUAGUCGCUCCUGGGUGAAUGAAGUAACGUGAACCAUGCGCUUCUGCUAAAUCCGCUGUCUCAAAUCAUCAACACAUGACACACACAGCCUAUCCUGACAUUGCAACACACCAUCUCCUCCUUGGGAGAAAACCUGUACUUUUUGAUCUCUAAUUGAUUCCUUCAAAUUAACCAAACUGGAUCCCUAUCUUGCUUUUUUUUCACUUCGACAACCAAAGAAGAUUCCAAACCAUUGUGAACCCAUAUACUACACUCAGCUGAAUCAACCAACCGUACACAUAAUCUAGCAAGCUGAUGAACCUCCUAGACUAACUUCUUCUUAUCAUUCUCAACAUGAGUAACACUACCUAUAAACAAUCUACUAAGGGCGUCUGCCACUACAUUAGCCUUUCCCGGAUGAUACAACACACUCAUAUCAUAAUUUUUUAACAACUCAAGCCACCUUAUCUAACGAAGAUUUAAAUCUUUCUGCGAAAAUACAUACCGUAAACUUUUGUGAUCCAUGAACACAUCAAUGUGAACUCCAUAAAGAUAAUGCCUCCAUAUUUUCAAGGUAAAUACAACAACUGCUAACUCAAGAUCAUAGGUAGGGUAAUUCUUUUCAUGAGUCUUAAGCUAUCUAGAGGCAUAGGCUAUGACCUUACCCUCUGCAUCAAUACACAACCAAGACCAACUUUGGACGCAUCACAAUAAACAACAAACCCAUCUAAACUAUCUGGCAAAGUCAAGACUGGGCUGAGGUGAGUUGAGUGUUCAACUCCUAAAAACUCUUUUCACAAGAAUCUGACCACUGAAAUUUGACUUUCUUCUGAUUCAAUCGAGAAAUGGGGGAUGCAAUAGAUGAAAACCCUUCAACAAAAUGUCUGUAAUAGCUAGCCAAACCAUAGAAACUCUUGAUAUCUUAUGGAGAGAUGGGUCUGGGCCAGUUUCUCACUGCUUUGGUCUUUUGUGGGUCAACUUCAAUGCCAUCACCGAAAAUAAUAUGGCUAAGGAAAGCUACUGAUCUUAGCCAAAACUUGAACUUACUGAAUUUGGUGAAUAACUGAUGGGCUCUAAGAGUCUGUAAUACAAUUCUGAGAUAGUCCGCAUGAUCAUUUUCACUAUAAGAAUAGACAAGAAUAUCAUCAAUAAAGACUAUGUCGAACAUGUCCAAGUACUGCUUGAACACUGUCCAUGAAAGCUGCUAGGGCAUUCGUUAGUCUAAAAUACAUAACUAGGAAUUUUAGACUGUUUUCGAAAUGUCACAUUCUCUGACUCUGAGCUGAUGAUAGACGGAUCUGAGGUCCGUCUUAGAAAAAUAACUAGCACCCUGAAGUUGGUCAAACAAGUCAUCGAUCCUGGGGAGUGGAUAUUAAUUCUUGAUUGUGACUUUGUUAAACUGACGGUAAUUGAUGCACAUUCUGAGAGAAUCAUCUUUAUUGCGCAUGAAUAGGACUAGAGCGCCCCACGGGGAAGCACUGGGUCUGAUGAAUCCCUUAUCUAAGAGAUCUUUCAACUAUUUUUUCAACUUUUUGAGUUCAGCUAAAGCCAUUCUGUAGGGCGAAAUAGAAAUAGGCUAGGUAUCUGGAAGGAGAUCUAUUCCAAAUUCAAUUUCUCUUUCGAGAGGAACUCUGAGAAAAUCUUCCGGGAAGAUGUUUGGAAAUUCCGUUACCACUAAAACUAACUUGAGAAUGAGAGUCUCAGAAUUAGAGUCUUUGACUCAAACAAGAUGGUAAACACAUCCCUUAGGUAUCAUCUUUCUUGCUCUAAGACCUCUAAGAGCUGAAGUACUACUUCUCCAUUCAAUGACUGGUUUAUUAGGAUACUAAAACUGAACAACCCUAUUUUUAGACUCAACUGAAGAAUACAUGAGUGGAGCCAAUCCGUGACUAGAAUGACAUCAAAAUUAGUCAUCUCUAACUCCACAAGAUCCACUGAAGUGAUUUUCUGGGAUACUAUAACGGGGAAGUUUCGAUACCCAUCUGGCUAUGAUAGAAUUAUCCACUGGGGUGGACAAUGAGAAAGGCUCUGCUAUAUUUCUACACUGACACCGAAAUUGACAGCUAUAUAGGGGGUUACAAAAGAAAGUAAAGCUUCGCGAUCUAACAAGACAUACACAUGAAGAUGUAAAACCUGCAACAUACCUGUAACUACAUCAGGAGAACUUUCCUGAUCAUGUCAAGACUAAAGUGCAUACAGCCUAUUCUGGCGCUGCCAAUAGUCACACUAGAAGUGGCGCCCUGUUGAGUCAGGCGACCUACGAGUGCUGCUGAAAAAGUAUUCUGGCCCUAUUGGCGAUUAUUUUUUCCCCUCUAUGCCACCACCAUACACUCUCGGAUCUUGUGUCUUGGCUUGCCACAUCCAAAACACACGUCACUGCUAGCCUUACAAACACCCUGAGGAUAUUUACCACAUUUCUAGCAAAGUGGAUUAGUACGACCACUGUUCACACUACCCUAGGACUUUGCGCCCUAUCCCGAUUGUCAUUCCUGAACUUUGGCACUGGUGUACUAGCUGAAAAUGGAGCUAGAGCUAAAAAUUUUUGAUGGAACUGAGAACUGUUACCACCUUCUGACCUCGGCUGAGAAAAGUUAAAACUGCCAGUUUUAGCCCUCUUAUUCUCUCUCUCUUUAUCCUUAAGCUUUUGUUCCUCAAUAUGUUGAGCAUGAACUAUAAGCCUAGAUAAGUCCAUCUCCUUAAUCAACAUAGCAUUCCUACAUUCUUUGACUACACUAUCAGCUCCACCAGAAAUAAACUUACUAAUUCUAGACCUAUUAUCAUCCACCAUCUAAGGAGAAUACCUCGCCAACUGAGUAAACUUAAGUGAGUAUUCCUUCACACUCAUAUUACCCUGCUUCAAAUUAAUGAACUCCAAUGCCUUAGCUUCUCUCAACUUUAAUAGAAAGGACCUGUCUAAGAAGGUCAUGGAAAACACCUUCCACUCAAUAGGACUUGCCUCAACACCUCUAUCCUCCUUCCACUGCUUAUACCACGUAUGAGCUACAUCCUGCAAAUGGUAAGCAACCAACUCUGCACUCUCACUCGAAGUGACACCUAUGAUAUUAGUCACCUUCUGAACCAUAUCAAAAAACUCUUGUGGAUCUUCCUCAGAGUUGGAUCCCAAAAACAAAGGGGGAUUCAUUUAAGUGAAAUCUCAAAUCCUAGCUGCAGCUGUAUUUACCACUGGGUUAGCUGGGGCAACAACUUUCUGGUUGUUCUAAGCACCUACUGAGUGAGCUAAGGGACUGAAUAUAGCUCUGAACUCAACAUGAGAGAUGUGCUCAUUUAGAAGAUUUUCCUGAACAGGCGAAGGUGCCAGCUGAUUACCGUUUCUUCUUCCAUUGUUUGUUUUGGGAGGCAUUAUCUGUAAAUGGAAGGAAGAAUGAGUUAGAAAGAGAGUUUUAAAUAGAUUUUAUGCUUAUUCACAGGAUAUGAAUAUUAAAAAAAGGGAAACUUUUCCUAAAAUGUCUUGUAGCCUCUUAUCCAUAAGCAUGGCACGCUUUACACCCACAUACGAGACUUUACUUAAUGCGGCUUUCAAACUCCCUAGGAAACUAUAAAACCUUAGGCUCUGAUACCAAGUUUUGUCAAGACCCGAGGCUACCCUCUAGUCGCGAUAACAGUGCUUAUGGUCAUAGGUGACCACAAGCUAACCUAUAACCUAGUACCUAUUGUGAGCACUGAAUACACUACAAUAAAACAUGUAUGCAUAAGAUAAACUAAUAAGGCCAAAAUCAAUCAAAAUACUGAAAACGUGAUUCAAUCACAAGUCUGUGAACGUCUGAUAACAAUACUGAAAACAUAACUGAUAAUACUGAUAAACUGACUAGCUGUAUGAUUGACUGUCUGAAUGUGUGAAAUCCUCUAAACUGACUGAGAAGUUGAUGGGAUAGGCCCCAACUAACUCCAACUGACUAACUGAAAAGAAAUGCGAAAACAACUUAAUAAACAGAAUAGGUCCUUGAUAUAUGAGGACUCACCACUGCAGUUGCUACUGUAAUGCUGGAAUGUCUAAGUAUGAUCGAGAAUUUAAGCAUCCGAACCUAUGAUAUAAGAUAUCAUAGCGCAAAGAAGAGUAUGCAGUCAGUACUCUGAAUGUAUUGGUAUUUAAGAUAAGGUUAGGCUGAAAUAUAUAGUUUAACUGUACAUGAAUUAAUGACUGACUGAAUAGCAUGAGAUAACUGAGUAAGCAUGCAUGAAAAUUGAAAUACUGAGAAGGUGAGACCAAGCAUAUAUAUAUAUAUAUUUCUGAAAUGAUUUGUAAACUAAAAUACUAAAAUCUGAAUGACAGUUAAUACGUAUACUUUGGUCAAGAAAACCUGAACUGAAUUCUAUAUUAAGUACUGAACUGAGACUGUGGGAGGUAUCAUCUAACCGAAAUGCUUAAAUAUGGGAUAAUCGGGGUCCAACCUAUAACCCUAGUUGGAAGUGUGUCAGUACCAUGCCAUAGGUACUAACUCUAGCUGUGUGGAUCCACUAAACUGGUGUCCCGGAGGACCAGGGUGUCAAGAUUAACUGAUAGGUGACCCCUGAGAGGAAACAAGCCUAACUGACAGGUGACUCCUCAUAUCCUGUGCUGGCUACGUAGUUCUGGAAUACAGGGACUGCUACUAAUGAAUUUGCCUAAUUGACGGUGAAAUCUCCCCCCUUCAUUCGCUCAGCACUAAAUCCUACUCCCAACUGAACUGGCACUGAUUACUGGACUAAACUAAGCUUAACUAAACAAAAAAUUGUUUAUAAUAACUGACUAAAUGACAAUGCUCAUGGUUUAUCUGAAAUUAUUUUGAAGAUACUGAAAUUAUGUAAAUAAUUAGGUAUCAGGUGUUCAUAACCCACCAACGCUGAAUGGAAAUAAUAAUGAUGACAUAUAAAGCUUUAAGAAAAACAUAGAAGGGGAUCAUUGCUCAAAACUCAACAUUUAUACAUAUCAUCAAACACAUGAGAGUCAUGAAUUUAAGCAUGGUAAUAGGUAAAGCAUGCAAAAAUAACAUGACCACAAUACUAAAAGCAUGAAUUAGGGAUUUUAAUAUGAAGAUUUCAAUAGUCAAAAAUAUGUAAUGGCUCAUCUCAUCGUAAACACUUGUAAAUUUAACUCAAAAUCAAAAUCAUAAUAGCUUCAUGGAGAUAAUUCAACUUGAAGAUGUAAAAACUCAUAAUUUAAAAAUAUAAAGGGAUUCUUGGACUUCAUGGGUGAAAAGGGCCCAUGGAUAAAUAUCACACAUACCUUAAACCCUUAAGCUUAAAGGAGAAACACUAAUCUUGAUAUUUUCUUGAAUGAUAUUGGAUUGGAAAACUUGAAUUCUUGGUUUUCUUGUAGAGAAAGUAAUGGAAUUUGAUAAUCUUGGGGGAGGAGAGGGUUCAUUUUUGAGAGAAAAUUAGAGAAGCUGGGCAAAUAAUGCCCUAACCGGUGUUAUAAUUCGUGAUUUGACGAAUUGGGUUGAGGGAAAAAGACAUAAUUGCCCCUCAGGCAAUUAAAUUCAUAACUGGAAUAUGGUUUACAAGGUCACCGUAAUGCGAUGAGAUUUCCAUCGCCAUUAGCACCGCGACGCGACACUAUCGUGAUGAACUGCUGGAAUCGUGAUCCAAACAUGACCCAAUCCUCAUCCGAAAAAUUUGAAACUUCCCCGAGACAUGCUCCUUACACCCCUGAACAUGAAUUAACUCAAAAACCAAUAUCUUAGUAUCAGGAAGACCAAUUUUAAAGUCCUCAAAGUUAAGAGGCCUUACAAAUGACUAAGUCCCAACACUUAGUGAAAUUUUUAGGUUUUAAGCCUCUUAUGUAUACAGCUAAGACCUGAAUUGAGCUAAGAAUAAUACAGUAUUACAUUUUUUUAAAAACCUCUUACAAUUGUCCUUCACUAUCCCAAGAAUUGGCCAGACAUGUAUAAGAGCUACCUAUUAUAAAAUAAACUGAUGACAAAAUAAAUAAUACAAAGACACUAACAUCUGAUAAGAAGGAAGUGCGAAAGUUAGUACUGAAUAUCAUCAUUUAUCUAGUAACUCCAAACUAACCUACAUCCAGUCUAUACCCCAAGAAGGAAUACAGAAGAGCAGGGUCAGUACAAACAGACGUACUGAUAGACAUCAUUGGUCGAAAUUACAUAAUCAUAAAAUGGAAUCAAGAAAAAGAAAUCAAGACAUCUUAAAUGGAAUAUAAUUCAACUAAAGUUGUAAUAUGAUUAUAACACUUUGUCUAUAUAAUUUACAAUUCUCCAACUCUAUUAACGAGAUUAUAUUCACCACUAGCAAGUCUAGCCUCAUUAAUUCACACUAUCCACUGCAUCCAACACUAAGCCAUCACUAUCACCCUUUAUUCACAUUACCUUUUCCAUUACUUACAUCUAUACGAGAUCAAUCUAGUAAUCUUAGACAACUCACACUAACUCUCGGGUUAAUAACCAAACGCUCUCUUAUAACAUUAAAGAAUAAUAAAUAGUCAAUCGGAUAAGCUACGAUUACAAUAAGUAUAAAUGAAGUAAGUCGACUAACAUAUAGCAAGUAAAUACAAAGUUUCAUUUUUUCAAGUACGUGUCACACAAUCAAUCUCAAAGAUACAAUUAAGUAGGAAAUACAAGUCAACUCACAUCUUGUCACGACCUAAAAAUUAGGGGUCAUGUAGCACUUAUCGUGGUUAAUCCUUGACAUAUAAGUCAAUCACCCAAACUAAUAUGAAGUACAAAAUCAACACCAAAUUCAAGACAAGACAAGUCGAAUCCUACAUAUACAAUAGAAGCAGAAAUCUAAAAUCAUAAUAAAUACCACAAACUAUCCCAAAAUCUAGCGUCACGGUGUAAUAACAAACUAAAUAUAUCUUGAAGUUUGAAAAUAUAAUUGUAAGUUCAAAAAGGAACAUAUAUCUGCCUCCAAAUAUAAAACAAACAUAAACUAGAAAGGAUGGGGUAGGAGGUCGACGUCUGGAAGCAUAAAGCUUCCACUAUCUCGGAUGUAAUGAAUUACCGUCCAAACUCAGCUGCUGCAUGGCACACUCAUACCUAGAUCUGCACUAAAAGGGCACAGUAGGAAUUUAUACGGUUCACUUGUACCCAAUAGGUAUCAUAGUAUGCCUGAGAAAAGCAAAAAUAAAGUAUAAAAAUACACAUUAUGGACACGUCACCUGUAAUAGGAAAAUAUACCAAAUGGUAGCCCACACCGUCUCCAUUAAUAGUUCUAAAUAUAUCGCAUACACUAGACACAAAUAUGAAAAAGAAUUUCAAAAUAGAUAGACAUCAAGUCGAACAUGAAAGCACAACACAGAAGAUGCAUAAUGUAUGAAAUGCAAUGAGAAUGAUAAUAUGAUAUUUUUGAGGUUGUCAAAUAGCCUCCAUAUACACCUACCAAGAACUGCUCUAGGGUAGGACCAAUGAGGGGUUUGCAAUCCAUAUACAAUCUCAAUAACCAAAUCUAGUCUCAAUAUCCAUAUCUCCUCUCUGACUUAUGAACUACGGUAGAUGGUUUUUGAAGGAGUCACAUUUCUAUCAAAACAAUUAGUAUUUUUACAAUGGUACCAAUGUCUCAUGAGCAUAUGUAUGAUAUGAGGACGUCGUGCUCAUAACUAAAUCAGAAAGAGAAUCUUAAAUCAAACUAGAAUACUCACACGUGAGCUAAAAAUUCACUCAAUGGGUCAACCAUCCAUAAUCCAAUAUGAGCCAUGUACCAGUAGAGUGAAAUUUGAAAGUAAUACAUCACUGAUAUCACAUAAACCCAACUUAAGCAAUUCCACUAGGAAGAAAACAACUAUAUGUAUACACUAAAUUAACAAUGUCAGAUAAGACCCCCACAAGGGUCACACAUAAUAAUUAUUGUCUCAACCCACCAAUAAUAACACAUAAGCCCCCACACGGGCGCACAAUGGUAUUAACACUAUUUUCAUGAUUCAUUCCCAUAUCCAUAACAUGCUUUUAUAUAAUAUAGUAACUGCUCAGUCCAGUCUAAAGAAAGUUAAGUCAAAACAUACCUUAUGACGCAGAAAUCCAAACCAACAACAUUUCAUGCAGAGUUUUUUCCCUCUCGAACAACUCUAGAAUCAACUAAAAUAUAUAAAUAUAGAAUCUACGUAUCAAAAGAAAGCCAAUGAUACUCAUAUUGCCUAUUUUUAAAUUGAGGUCAAACGAACCUCCAAAAUAAGUUUUCAAAAAGGAGUAAAACUGAAAUUUUUGUUCAUAAACACAUUACCCGUGAUUAAAAAAAUUCAUAGAAGAAAACUCAAGUGAAAACAGGUUGAAAAUGAGGCUUAAAUUGAAGAAAAAUCAUUUUAGGCCUUCUGGGCCAAAAUUUUCAAAUUUCACUUUUGAAAUAGUAUUUUAAUGGGUUUUAGAUGGCAAGAAUCAAAGUAAAAUAAUUACAAUAGUGAUUUGGAACUUAUCCAAGCUUAAAGAUGGAAAAAAUUUCCCAAAAACUCUGAAACCCGAAGCAAAGUCUCAAAAAUGGGGAAAAAUCAGAAAAAUUGAUUUUCAUAUUAUGUUAGGCUUGACCACUUAAGCAGCCACAACACUUGACCGCUUUAGCGAUCAAGUUCCAUUUAGCAAUACCCGUGUGCCUUCCUAGUUUGCUUUGUCGGAAGCCGCUAAAAGCGGCCCCUUGUCCGCUAAAGUGGAUAAGGUUCUUCUUUAGCAGUCCCCAACUGAGGAGACAGGUCGCUAAAGUGACCUGCUGGCCACUACUAAAGCAAUCCAAGAGUCUCUUUAGUAGUUGCACUAGCUGAGACUUGAAUGAUUUUCAAGUCUCUGCGGACCCCUCAAAAUUCACCUGAAAUCCCGAGAACACAAAUAAUCUACGCUACCCUACCAUAUUUGAUGCUCCAAACUCAAUGGCGCUAUCAAAUUUUGAAAAAAAAAGGUUAUUUUAACAAAAUUAACCCCCGAGAUCCAAUUUCUCAAUCUUCCGAAUUGAGGAUUGAAAUGAGAUAUAUAAGCCAUAAAAUCACACUAACCAUGUUACCAUCCCAAAAUUGAUAUUUUGAAUCUGCUAAUGCAGUUUGUUUUAUCAUCUGGCACACAAAAUAAUAAAUAUUGAUCAAAAUUAAUUAUAAAGUCUUUUCACAUCUAAAAAUCACAAACUUGCACAAAUCACACUGAAAUGCAUUGAGAACCAUGCCGACAAUUCUCACACUCCAGAAACAUUAUGUAACAACCACAAAAAAGGGUAAAAUGGUUAAAUUACAUAAAAAUAAAUAAUUCACAAAAUCAAGUCCUUACACAUCUCAAUAAAACACACUAGAGAACUCAAGUCUCAUUAGCAAACCUUAUAGAUACUCUAGAAGAAAGAUUAAUUCAGUUAUUGAAAUUUGAGGAUCGUUUCUUUGGAAUUAUUCAUUGGAUUUAUCACUUUAUAUCACUUAAUUGUUAUUUUUUUAUUAUUAUUAUCACCAUGCAGGCUCAUGUCGGCUAUACUGCUUGAGAAAUUAAUAUAAUAGCAAUAUUAACAUGACUCGACCACGGGCCUUAUCGUAAUAGGCAUCCCAAGUCCAACUAGGACCGGGGACCGCCCCCUAUUACCCAAAACAUUACCUAUAUCCAGCUUUAGAUGGGUUGAAUUUCGAGCAUAUAACAAGACAAUGUAAAUGCUCUCAUGAAGACUCUGGCAUAGGGUCACAACCGUGACCGACCCAACCGAGUCCAACCGUACCAAAUCAACCAUCCAACCAUACUAACCAAACCAUAGGACAUAAACCAUGACGUAACCAAAAAGAAUACCAAAACAUAAUAUGAUAAUCAAUCCUGAAAUGUAAUACGAUGGAACAGUGAGAAAUGCAAAGGCCGACACUAAUAUCGAUACCGCCCAUACUGACCCCUAGAAGUACCACAAAGCCUCUAUCCAAAAGAGUAAAUAAUCUGGUUGGGACAUGCCCCCUACCAUGACCAAAAUCAAUAUCCAAAAUAAAGUCAAAAUGUCUAACAAUAUCCAUUACAUGAAAUGAUUCCUUCUAAAAGGAUGGAAACUCACCAUUUUAGUCCAAAUAUUAUCCCCGAGGCAAUCAUUAUGUAGGAAGAGUUGAAUGGCCGGUUCCUACAUAGCGUGGGUAUAUAGCCACCAGUAGACUAGUUAGUGAGUGACCGCUAUCAUGAAUCUCAAGAUAAGAAGAAAAUAAUGCCUGUUAUAAAACCAAGUAAAACCAUCCAAUGCACAUAACCAUACAUAUAUACAUAUAUAUAUAUAUGUAUAUAUAUAUAACCAUGCCGGGAAAGGGAAUCGGAUUUAGCAUGCCUUUAAAACAUUUACCUGGGUUGUGUAUCUUAGCCGUCCUAAGCCACCCAUGAGUGAUAUGAGUUCACCUCCCUUUUCUGAAAGGGCCUCACUGCGUGUAACUGCACGACCAGGGAAGUAUCCCAUGGGAUGACUAGUACAUCCCCCAAUAGUGAGAUAUCAUGCACAUGGUCCACUAAGACCAAUCCUCAUAUCAGUAAAUACGAGUUUUUAGUUUUGGUCUCCCAGGGACCGCCACCUUCCAAGACUUUGCUACACACCCCGCCACUAAUGCGCAAUUAAAACCAUUUCCAAAUAACUAAACCAUUUUCAUUUCAUUUAACCAAGGCCAAUAUUAGUGGUAUCGUCAUGCCACCCCUUACUUGCGACCAAUAUCCAUAACCAAACCAUUAAGGUUAAAAGGACUUUUAAGUGCCCUUUUAUAUGCCAUAGCAAACCACUUGGGAGACUUCUAUGUUCCCCACAAGCAUAACCAUUUUGCCUUUAGCCUUUUUAAAUUAUUUAAACCAUUUAAAGCUUUAUUGCAUAAGCUGAAAACAAGCAAGAGUUUUAUUAAAAAAAGUCAAUGCAAUGAAUAUACCUUUAUAAGCAUUUUAUCAAACACCUUGGGGGCAUAAUAUAACCAAAAGAAAUUCCAAAGACCAUUAAACCAUUACCAUGUAAUCCAACUGUCCAAAACCACCAUUAAUGCAUAUAAAAGCAUAAUUAAAACCAUAACCGAGCAUUUAAUAUCAAACCCCCCCAAAUAAUAGUUGAAAACCAUAAUCAUGAAAUAGUAAAACCAUGAAAUCAAUCAUAUAAACCAUGCUUUUAUUUGAAAUUACAAUGAGGGAAGAGAAUCAUGCAUUAUACCGAAGAAGAUAAUGGAAAGAAAUUGGCAACAUAAUCCCCAAAGCAAUCCUUUAGUUGAAACUUUAGCUCUCUUGCCCCAAAAGCUCUUGAGAGAAUUAUGGAGUGUUUUGGAGUAGUUUCCAAGGACUAAUGAAUAGAAUAAUAGGGUAAAUAACCUCCUAAGUGUAUUAGAAGUCAUGGGUCCUAAUUUGGGUUAGUAGGGAAAUGUCCAGAAUACCCCCACUUAAGUUGCACAAAAUCUUAUCACAAGGAUACGACUGACCCAUACGAGUCGUACCCUCCUAUACAAUUGGUUUCCACCACUCAUAUCCAAGCCUCAACCUUGGAUCAGACAUUAUCCAGUAUACGACUCAUCCAACCAAGUCGUAACCCCAGCAUACGAUCCGUACCCAUGAUCCGUAUCCCUAGUAGAAUAAAAUACCAAGAGGAUCAAACACUUUCCACCAUACGAGUCCCUGAUACGUCUCGUACCAAGACCUAUGACUCAUACCCCAAAGUCAUAACCAUUCCAGUGACCAAAACCAUCCUACAAACUAACAUUAGUUAGCAUAUGGAACGACCAUGCCACUCGUACCCCAACAUACGAAUCAUACCCAUGAGUCAUAUUGGGUCCGGAGAAUAGAAAUUUUAGGAAAUUUUCUAAGGGUCAAAACCUAGGAUAUUUCGGUCUCCCCUACUAGGAACAUUCAUUCCCGAAUUACGAACAAAGUAGGGGUAACCACACAUAAAGUCAUUUGAAUUGCCAAACAUAUUCCCAAUCUUCAUUAAAGUUCGAAAAUAAAGAGGUAAAGAUGUUAAUCUUUUCUUCAACAAAUUAAAAAAAUAAAGAUGUGUUCAAGAACACAUACCUUAUGUACGAAUCCCAAGAGCAGAAAACAGAUGCGGAUACUUGGACGUCCUGUCCUCUUCCAUUUCCCAAGUAGCUUCUUACACCUUAUGGUUCCACUAUAGAACCUUAAUCGAAGCCACAUCCUUGGUCUGAAACUGAUGAACUUGCCUAACUUAUAUCUUAACCGAAACUUCUUUAUAAGAUAAAGAAUCUGAAAUACCCAAUCCUUCUAAAGGAACAAUCGAAGAAGGAUCACUAAUGCACUUCCUCAACAUGGAAACAUGAAAGAUCGGAUGAACCAAACUUAAUCUUGAUGGUAACUCCAAAUUAUAAGCAAAAUUACCAACUCUUCGCAAAAUCACAUAAGGAAAAACAUACCGAGGACUGAUUUUCCCCUUUUUGUCAAACAACACCUCUCCCUUCAUGGGAAAUACCUUGAGGAACACCCUAUUCUUGACCUCAAACUCUAAGCCUUUACGCCUAACAUCUCUAUUGGAUUUUUAGUGAAUUUUGGUAGCUUUAAGCCUAUCUCGAAUCACCUUGACCUUCUCCAUCGCUUGAUAAACCAAAUCUGGGCCAAACACGUCUGCUUGACCAAGCUCAAACUAACCAAUAGGAGAUCUACACCUCCUACCAUACAAUGACUCAAAAGGAGACAUACCAAUACUCGAAUGAUAGCUAUUGUUGUAAGCAAACUCCACCAAAGGUAAAUUCUCAACCCAAUUGCCACCAUAGUCAAUCACACAAGCCCAAAGCAUAUCCUCCAACGUUUGAAUAGUUCUCUCCGCUUGCCCAUCCGACUACGGAUAAAAAGUAGUACUCAACUAACCUUUGUCCCCAACCUUUUUUGGAAAAACCUGCAAAAGUGAGACAUAAAUUGCGUACCACGAUCAGAAAUAAUUGAAACAGGCACCCUAUGCAGCUUCAUAAUCUCCUGAACAUACAUCUUUGCAAAAUCCUCUGCCAAAAAGGUAGUCCACAUUGGGAAAAAGUGUAUAGACUUAAUAAUCCUAUCCACGAUGACCCAAAUUAAAUCAUACUGAUUUCGAGACCGAGGAAGACUGGUAACAAAGUCCAUAUUGAUCACUUCCCACUUCUAUUCGGGCAAAUUAAUUUCUUAAUACAACCCUCCUGGCCUUAUGUGCUCAACCUUAACCUGUUGAAACACUAUAUACUUGGACACACAAUCAUCCAUAUCUCUCUUCAUGCCAUUCCACUAAUAGAUCUCCUUGAGAUCAUGAUACAUCUCAGUCAAGCCGGGAUGAACAACAUAGCACAACUCAUGCGCCUCAACUAACACCCUUUGCCGCAACCUGUUGACAUAGGAAUGCACAACCUUCUUUGUACCAUAAAGUACCAUCACCACUAAUCUCAAGCACCACUUUCUUUUUGUCCACUGACGUCACUCUUGAUUUUCAUCAAGACAGGAUCCAACACUUAUUUCUCUUUGAUCUCCGCAACAAGAGAUAAUCGAACCACCUCUUGUACCAUCAUACUAUUAUCCUUAGAGUCUAAGAGAUGAACUCUAAGAUUAGCCAAGCAGUGAAUAUCCUUCACCAAUUCUCUCUUCCCCUCCUCUACAUAAGACAAACUCCCCAUGGAUAACCUGCUAAGAGCAUUAGCAACCACCUUAUCCUUACUUGGGUGGUAGUGAAGACUCAUAACAUAAUUCUUGAGAAGUUCAAGCCAUCUCUUCUGCCUGAGAUUAAGCUCUUUCUGAGUGAACAUGUACUGAAGACUCUUGUGAUCAGAAAAGAUAUCUAUGUGAACACCAUACAAAUAAUUCUGCCAUAUUUUCAAAGAAAACACAACCACCAAUAACUCUAAAUCAUGCGUAGGAUAAUUAUUUUCAUGUACUUUCAACUACCUAGAAGCUUAGGCAAUCACCUUCCCAUGCUUCUUCAAAAUACACCCAAGACCUACUCGAGAUGCAUCGCAAUACACCACAAACCUAUCAUUGCCUUUCGGCAAAGUCAGGAGUGGAGCCAAAGUCAAAUUAUCCUUUAACUUCUAAAAACUCCCUUCACAAGCAUCUAACCAGGGAAACUUAACCUUCUUCUGAGUCAAUUUAGUCAAAGAUUUAGCUAUCGAAGAAAACCUUUCCACAAACUGCCUAUAAAUCCCAGCUAAACCCAAGAAGCUUCGAAUACCAGAUGGAGUUAUGGGCUUAGGACACCUCUUCACUAUAACAAACUUCUGUGGAUCCACCAUGAUCACUUUACUAGAAAUUAUAUGACCCAAGAAAGUCACAACAUUCAAUCAAAACUCACACUUAGAGAACUUGGCAUACAACUAUUAUUUCUUUAAGAUCUGCAAAACCACACAGAGGUGAUUAGCAUAAUCCACCCCACUCUUCAAAUAAACCAAAAUGUCAUCAAUAAACAUAAUGACAAAGAGAUCCAAAUACUGCCUGAACACCCAGUUCAUCAAGUCCAUAAAUGCUAUCAGAGCAUUAGUCAUCACAAAUGACAUCACCAAGAACUCAAAAUGCCCAUACCGAGUACGAAAAGUCAUCCUACGGAUAUCUACCUUCCUAAUCUUAAGCUGAUGGUACCCCGACUAAAGAUCUAUCUUAGAAAAAAACUUGGCACCCUAUAACUGAUUAAAUAGAUUAUCUAUCCUUGGGAGAGAAUACUUAUUCUUAACCGUUACCUUAUUCAACUACCUGUAGUCAAUGCACAUCUGAAGAGAACCAUGCUUCUUGCACAUAAACAACCCUAGUGUACCCUAGGAAGAAAUGCUAGGACAAAUAAACCCAUUGUAUAGAAGAUCCUUAAGUUGCUCCUUGAGUUUCUUCAACUCAAUCGGAGAUAUUCAAUACGGAGAAAUAGAUAUUGGACGAGUAUCUGGAAGUAAAUCAAUACCAAACUCUAUUUCCCUAUCCAUAGGGACACCAGGAAGAUCAUUCGAAAAGAACUCUAGAAACUCAUUAACCACAGGGACCGAAGACAAAGAAGGACCUUUUGUUUUAAAAGCUUUAGACCGGACUAAGUGAUAAAGACAGCCCUUGGACAUUAACCUUUGAGCUCUAAGAUAAGAAAUAAACCUCCCCCUAGGAGCUAAGGAACUACCUUCCCAUUCUAUAACCGAUUCACCAGGGAACUUAAAGAUAACCCUAUAGGUUUGGCAGUUUAAAGACACGUAACAAGAAUGCAACCAAUUCGAACACAGAAUCACAUCAAAAUCUAUUAUAUCCAAAUCAAAUGGAUCCACCAAGCUCUGCUUGCCACCAACAGAUACCACACCCCCCUAUAGACUCUCUUUGUAAUAACCGAGUUACCUAUCGGGUAAAAAUAGAAAAAGGAUCCGUAAUAACUUUUAGAUCAAAACCAAAAGAUACAACUAUAUAUGGAGUCACAUAAGAAAGAGUGGACCCAGGAUCAAGCAAACAAUAUACGUCACGAGAGAAGAACUAUAACGUACCAGUAAUGACAUCAUGUGAUGCCUCAAAUUCCUGUUGGGAUGCCAAAGCAUACAACCUGUUUUGAACAACACUAGAAUCGGGAGUAGUAAUAAAAGCAGAUACCACACCACUAUGUGCAGGAGCAGAAGAUGAAGUCACAAAAAUUUUAUUCGUCCCCGUAGCAACCAUGUUAACUAAAUAAUCCCCGAGCCGAUGGCUGACAUGGACAUAUUUGAAGUAUUUUCCCUUCUUUCUUUGCAAUAACCCCGAUGAGGACGAUUAUAGAAUCAACAAGGAGGAUGAAGAAACAGACCGACCUUCGCUCGCCUGAGAUUGGGCAACCUGCGCCCGCGAAUUGUCACUGCCUUGAUGACGCCUGUCUCUUGACUGGUAAGAAGCACUAGUAGAAAAGGAGCUAAAACUCCCCCACUUCUUUUUCUGCCACUUGCCACCAUCUAUACCGCCUGAGACUGAGCACCUCUCUAAUCAGAGAACCUGCUCCUCUUUUUCUGCCUAUCUCUAAACUCUUCCUGCCUUUUCUUCUCAUCCUCAACCUACUGCAUAUAAGCAAUCAACCUCGAGAUAUCUAUAUAUUUAAUCAACAAGGUAGUUUUGCUCUCUAGAAUCAAAUCUCUAUUCAACCCAAAAAUAAACUUCCUUAUUUUUGACCUCAUAUCAUCCACUAAGUCAGGAGUAUACCUUGAUAGUUGAUGGAACUUUAAAACAUAUUCCUUUACUGACAUCCUCUUUUGCCUGAGGUUCACAAACUCCUCCAUCCUCGCUUCCCUCAACUCUUAAGGAAAGAACUGAUCUAAGAAGGAAUUAGAAAAGGCCUCUCACAACCCUUCCUUUUCUAUAUCACCCUUAUCUCUAUCCCACUUCUCAUACCACUAAUAAGUAAUAUCCUUGAGUAAGUUGGAAGGUUAACCCCCUCUACAUUAGUAACCUGCAUCGCUCGAAAGAUCUUUUCUAUCUUAUUCAAGAAGUCCUAUGGAUCCUCCCACACCUUCACUCCAGUAAAAGUUGGAGGACCUAUCUUCAUAAAUUAACCAACUCCUGUGGCCUCAGCGGAUAAAGCACCAGUCGUACCCUUCUUAGCUUGAGCAAUAACCAGUUGGAAAAUAAUAUGAAUAGAUUGAUAAAAUUCUAUGUUCGUCACGCUGCCUUGAGGGACCUGAAGGGAACUAGCCGGAAUUGGAGGAACUUCAGCACUAUCAGGAAUAGGGCCAUAAGAUCAAAGAUAUACUUCAGACGUAGGACGUAUCCUUUCAGCAUUAUCCCCAGAUGAGAUAGAAGAAUUUUCUUGUGUUCCAGAUCUAGGAGGCAUGAUCUGAAAGACGAACAAACAAGGAUAGAGAAGAUUUCCAGGAUUGAGAACUCAAUCUUGAAGAUAGAAUACCAAGAAAGUAAAACAUUCCUAAAUGUCUUACAGUCUCUCCCUUAUGAGUGUGGCGUGCUUCACACCCCUAAAAGAGGCUCUACUCAACAUGACUUUGUAGACUUCCCAGCUUACCAUGAACUUAAGCUCUGAUACCAACUUGACAUAACCUGAUCCCAGACCUUAUCGUAAUGGGCAUCAAAAGUUAAACCAGGAUCGGGGAUUGCCCCCUAUUACCCAAACCAUUACCUAUAUCCAGCCUUAGAUGGGAUGAAUUUUGAUCAUAUAACAAGAUAGCAUAAAUGCUCUCAUGAAGACUCUAGGAUAGAUUCACAAUCACAACUGACCUAACCGAGUCCAACUAUACUAAAUCAACCAUCCAACAAAACCAUAGGCCAUAAACCAGGCCGUAACGAAAGAGAAUACCAAAACAUAAUAUGAUAAUUAAUCCCAAAAUUUAAUAUGAUGAAACAAUGAGAAAUAGUGUUCGAUGAUGCUAGCCUCCCAGCUUAUUCUAAUGCCAAGGCCGACAUCUACUGAUCCCGCCCAUACUAACCCCCAGAAGUACCAUAAAACCUUAUCCAAAAGAGUAAAUAAAUUCGGUUGGGACAUGCCCCCAACCAUGGCCAAAAUCAAUAUCCAAAAUAAAGUUAAAACAUCUAAGAAUAUCCAUUACAUGAAAUGAUGCCUUCCAAAAGGAUGGAAUCUUACGACUUCAUUCCAAAUGUUGUCCUCGAGUCAAUCACUAUGUAGUAGAAGUCAAAUGAUCGAUUCCUACAUAGCGUGGGUAUACAACCGCCAGUAGAUAGGUUACCGAGUGACUGCUAACAUAAAUCUCAGGAUAAGGAUAAAAUAAUUCCAGUUAUAAACCAAGUAAAACCAUCCAAUGCACAUAACCAUACAUAUAUAUGUAUAUAUAUAUAUAUAUAUAUAUAUAUAUAUAUAUAUAUAUAUAUAAACAUACCGGAUUCCUAAAUCACCUACGGACGAUAUGGGUUCACCUUCCCCUACUGAAAGGGCCCCAGUACGUAUAACUGCACGACCAGAGAGGUAUCCCAUGGGAUGAAUAGUACAUACCCCAAUAGUGUGACAUCAUGCACACAAUUCCCUAAGACCAAUCCUCAUAUCGGCAAAUACAAGUUUCCAUUUUUGGUCCCCCCCGGGACUGCCACCUUCCAUGACUUUGCUACACACUCCGCCAUUAAUGCUUAAUUAAAAGCGUUUCCAAAUAACCAAACCAUUUACCAUAUUGUUUAACCAAGGAUAAUAUUAGUGGUAUCGUCAUACCACCCCUUACUUGCAAGCAAUAUCCAUAGCCAAACCAUUAAGGUUAAAAGGACUUUCAAGUGCCCUUCCAUUUUUUAUAUUAAACCACUUGAGAGACUUCCAUGUUCCCCACAAGCAUAAACAUUUAGCCUUUAGCCUUUUUAAAUCAUUUAAAAUAUUUAACAAGCAUAAACAUUUAGCCUUUAGCCUUUUCAAAUCAUUUAAACUAUUUAAAGCUUUAUUACAUAAGCUGAAAAUAAGCAAGAGUUCCAUUUAAAGAAGUCAAUGCAAUGAAUAUACCUUUAUAAAUAUUUUAUCAAACACCUUGGGGGCAUAAUAUAACCAAAAGCAAUUCCAAAGACCAUUAAACCAUUACCAUGAAACUGUCCAAAAUCACCAUUAAUGCAUAUAAAAGCAUAAUUAAAACCAUAGGAAACCAUAACCAAGAGUUUAAUAUCACCCCUCCCAAAUAAUAGUUGAAAACCAUAAUCAUGAAAUAGUAAAACCAUGAAAUCAAUCAUACAAACCAUGCCUUUAGUUGAAAUUACAAUAAGGGAAGAAAAUCAUGCCUUAUACCGAAAAAGAUCAUGGAAAGAAAUCACCAACACAAGCCCCAAAACAAUCCUUUAGUUGAAACUCUAGCUCUCUUGCCGCAAAAGCUCUUGAGAGAAUUAUAGAGUGUUUUGGAGUAGUUUCCAAGGGUUAAUGAAUAGAAUAAUAGGGUAAAUAACCUCCUAAGUGUAUUAGAAGUCAUAGGUCCUAAUUAGGGUUAGUAGGGAAAUGUCCAGAAUACCCCCACUUAAGUUGCACAAAAUCUCAUCACAAGGAUACGACUGACCCAUAUGAUUCAUACCCUCCUAUGCAAUUGUUUUCCACCACUCAUAUCCAAGCCUAAACCUUGGAUCAGAUAUUGUCCAGUAUACGACUCAUCCAACCAAGUCGUAACCCCAGCAUAUGAUUCGUACCCAUGACCCGUAUCCCUGGUAGAAUGAAAUACCAGAAGGAUUAAACACUUCCCACCAUACGAGUCCCUAAUAUGACUCAUAUCAAGCCCUAUGAAUCAUACCCAUAAGUAGUAAUCAUUCCACUAACCAAAACCAUCCUACCAACUAACACUGGUCAGCAUACAAUAGGAUCAUACCCCUCGUACCCUAACAUAUGACUUAUACCCAUGAGUUAUAUUGGGUUCGGAGAAUGGAAAUUCCAUGAAAUUUUCUAAGGGUCAAAACCCAAAAUGUUUCAAAUACCAAAAUUUAACAUCAGCCAUAUUGCUUGAGAAAUCAAUAAGGUAGCAAUAUUAGAAUUUAACAUUGACCAUAUUGCUUGAGAAAUCAAUAAGGUAGAAAUACCAAAAUUGAACAUUGGCCAUAUUGCUACUGAAAUCUUUUCACUUUUUAGUUCUUAAUAAAUAUUCAUAUUUCACUUUUCAACUUGUGUGAAGGUAUAUCCAAGUCUUCUUUACUCAAGGCAUUUUUUAAACACAUUAUCAUUUGGAAUAUCUUUCUUUUAUCUAUAUUUUGGGUCUUUCACGGGCAUUACUUCAACAAUUCAUUAUGUUCAUCAACAAGUUCUUCAUGGUAUUAAUUUAAGAAAUUAUCAUUAUCAAACAACCCUCUCAUAGACACAAUUCAAUAAAUCUGCAUCAUCAUAAAUUUAGCCUCUUAUGGGCAUACAGUAGAUAAAGUAUGUAUAUCAAUACCAAAUCAAGAAUAUCAUAAAAUCAAUCACAAUUCAACACUUAAGCAUACAAGUCCAUUCAACACUUAAGCAUACACGUCACAAUUGGAGCCUUCAUUACUCAUUAAUUAUUAAAAUACUACUACCUUCUAAAAUACCAAAACUCGAGUUCUAACAUCACCACCUAUAACUAGCACAUUCAAGCAUAUCAUUAUCCUCUACCUCUUUUCACUUGAUAAAAUUCUCACAAUGAUUCAAGUCAUCUAUCCCUUAGAUAUAACUAUGCUUAUCAAUAUUUGACCCUAGCAUAAUUCUCCUCAUCACAUUAUUACACGAUACAUAUAACUUAAUCCUUUGUAACUCAACUAGAUUCAUCACUAAAAUAGCUUAAUAACAUCAUGCUUGUGCACUUUAUCCACAAAUAAUUUCAUUUCGAGUACACAAUACACAGUACCAUGGAAGUAACACAUUAGCAAUCAAGAAGAUAGUUUUUUGGAAUUAAAGUAAGUGUAUAUAUUUUUAUCCAAAACUUGAGUUUUAACAUAACCACCUAUAACUAGCAUAUUCAAGCAUAUCAUUAUCCUCUACCUCUUUUCACUUGAUAAAAUUCUCACAAUGAUUCAAGUUAUCUAUCCCUUAGAUAUAACUAUGCUUAUCAAUAUUUGACCCUAGCAUAAUUCUCCUCAUCACAUUAUUACACGAUACAUAUAACUUAAUCCUUUGUAGCUCAACUAGAUUCAUCACUAAAAUAGCUCAAUAACAUCAUGCUUGUGCACUUUAUCCACAAAUAAUUUCAUUUCGAGUACACAAUACACAGUACCAUGGAAGUAACACAUUAGCAAUCAAGAAGAUAGUUUUUUGGAAUUAAAGUAAGUGUAUAUAUUUUUAUCCAAAACUUGAGUUUUAACAUAACCACCUAUAACUAGCACAUUCAAGCAUAUAAUUAUCCUCUACCUAUUUCCACAUGAUAAAAUUCUCACAAUGAUUCAAGUCAUCUAUCCCUUAGAUAUAACUAUGCUUAUCAAUAUUCGCCCCUAGCAUAAUUCUCCUCAUCACAUUAUUGCACAAUACUUAUAACUUAAUCCUUUGUAACUCAACUAGAUUCAUCACUAAAACAGCUCAAUGACAUCAUGCUUGUGCACUUUAUCCACAAAUAAUUCCAUUCUAAGUACAUAAUACAUAGUACCAUGGAAGUACCACAUAAGCAAUCAAGAAGAUAGUUUUUUGGGAUUACAGUAAGUUUAUAUAUUUUUAUCCACCUUAACUUUGUGCCCGCAGGCCUAGACAUGCUUUCUCCCAUCAAUUGUAUGUUAUGAAAAUGUGACGUAAUACAGUCUUCUACUCAUUAAACCUAGCCUACCUAGACGCCAAGCUUUUGGAAGAAGCAAGUUGCAACAAGGAUGCGCUUUCCUUUCCUUCAUGCCUUGAAAUAAUCAAUUGUCUAAAAAUCAAGCAAUAAUAAGAGUAAUCAAAUAAUUAUUCGUCAAACAAAUAUCUUGGGGAUUUAAACCCACCAAUUCUACCCUUAAUUCAAGAUCUAUAUUAUUCUCCAAGGUAAAUUAGCCAUUAACUAGUUCUUUUAAGUUUAACCCAUCUCUAUUUAUGGAGUUUUUAUGCUAAAUGUCUCAUCUUUAUAGAAUUCAAGGUUUCUAACCAUCAAGGAAUCUUAAAUUUAUAAUCUAGAAUCAGCUUUAGGUGAUAUUAAGAAGACCCAUAGUUUCUCCAAAAAAUUUAUCGUUAAAGGUCUUUUUAAGGAUUCUAAGAUGUUAAUGGAUUAAAAGACGAUGAAGAUAAUAGAAAAACUUACCUCAGCGAAGGAAUUUCACCCUAAACUUUGGAAAUCACCUCUCUAGAGUUGAGGAAUAAAUUUUGGGGUUUCUGGACUUGAAACAUCGCUAAAACUGAUUUAAAUACCAUCAGAAUUAUUGCUACAACCAAAUUCUCAUUUCAGCCUAGACAAUACUCAGAAAAGCGGUCAUAACUUUUUAUUUCGAACUUGGAUUUAUGAAUGGGUGGUUGCGUUAGAAACCUAUAUCGAAACUCUAUCGGAAAGAAAAUUUUUAACUAAACUUUGUGCUAGGAAUAUUGUACAAACUUAAUUCAUACCUAAGGAACUUUCAAAAUAAACUGUUGAUAUUAUUACUCAUGUAUAAUUAAAUUCAUCAGGCUUGAGUCUGUCUAGACACAUCGACAGAUUUAAAUCUUAGUAGAAAAGCUUGAGGUCGUACAAUAAACAAAAUGAUUACUAUUUUGGACUCAAGUUAAUAUUGAGAAAUGAAUAUUAAGAAUUUUCAUGAAUUUAUUACGGAUAAUUUAGUAACACAAAAUGGGUCGUUAUAAAAUACAGGGGUUCUCUUCAUUGUAAUUUAUUCUUCAAGAUGAUCUCUCAUUCCUCAAUUGAAUAAUAUAUAUUCUCUCUUCUCUCAAUUCUUCUUGUUCUUGCUUAUUUUAUGUGUAUUGUAUCUUCUCACACACUCAAUGCCCUCAAGCCUUAAUUUUUGACUAUCCACUCCCGACACCAAGGUCAACUAAAGCCUAAAGCAACUAAAGUCGCUGCUUUAGGCCCCAACAUUUCCUAAUAUGUGAUAUAUCUCCAUUUCUAAAUACUUAAUGUUUUUAAUUUGAGAAAAUUCUUUUUAAAAAAAUAGUUUUUUUAGAAAAUAAAAAGUGUUUUUAUUAACUUACCCCCUAAUUAAAUAUCAUAGAAGUAAUUCUUUAAUUGAAUAGAAUUUCAUUUAUUAUAACAAUGGUUAUUUUGAAAGAAUGCUCUAAUUCUUUGUUGAACUUUUAAAACACCACAUAUUUUGAAACAAAAUGAAGAGACUAAGGGUGUGUUUGGUAUGAUGAAAAAUGUUUUCAUGGAAAAUAAGUUGGUGUUUUACUUAUUUCUUAUGUUUGGUUGCUGAGUGGAAAAGAUUUUCCAAAAAUAUUUUAUGGUGUUUGGUUAGUGAAUAGAAAAUAUAUUUUUUCUACCUAAAUUUUAAAUUUACAUGAGUGUGUGGCCCUCUAAUUAAAAAUAUAAUAUAUUUUCUAAAAUAUAAUAUUUAACUACACAUUUUUAAACAUUCAGUCAGUUGGGGCUUUGAGCUGUAGGUGACAAAAGAGUUUGAAAAUGAGGUGUAGGUGACUCAAUUCUUAAUAAUUAAGUGGAUGUGACAAUUACUUUAUUAUGGAUUAAGAAAGUUGGAGAAAUUUCAAAAUAACCCACAAGUUUUUAAAUUUACACUUUAAUUCAAAUGUUAGUUGAUACAACAGGAAACAGAGGGAAAAAAGAUGCAUUUCUCUCUCUUCUUAUCUGUUGUUAUUUUCUCUCUCUCUUUGCGAUUUAUGUUGUUCAUUAUUGAUUCUUCUUUAUUCAUCAUAUUCUUCUUUAUUAUCAUCAUCUUAUACUUCAUUAUCCUCUUUAUAAUCUUCUUAUUGAUCAUUGUUGUUGUUGUUGUUACCGUAAUUACUGCCCUUUGACCACUUUCUUAGGUCAAAUUUUGUUUCGUACAUCACUUUCAACUUUGGCAUUUACUUGAUAGGAGACUUUGGCAAGUCAAAUUAUGCUUUUUAGUUGAAUUUGUCAUCUGGGUAACUGCUUGUGUGCUAUUGUUUCAAUAAUAGCUAGCACACAAACAUUAAUGCAACAUAAGAGCCAUCUAUUUAAACAGAUCCAUUAUCUGUUGCGCCAGAUAGAUAUUCUGUUGCAACAGGAGACUCAUAUGUUGGAUUCAUGUUUAUGGUUCUAUAGUGCCCGUAACAUGAGUCGAACAGAUGGGUAUUCUGUUGUGACAGAUUAGUAGUCUGUUCCAACAGAUAAUUAAUCUAUUACACUAGAUUAGUAAUCUAUUCUAAUAUAAAGUAAUCUAUUGCAACAAAAUAUAUAUCUAUUGCAACAAAUUAUAAUUCUAUUGUAGCAGAUGAAUAAUUUAUUCCAAUUAACACAAUACAGCUCCUGUCACAAACCCAACAGAUAACUCGUAUAUUGAUAUCUUGCUAUUGAUAUUGGAUUCAAAUUAUUCCUUAAUCGUAGAAAUGUUUGUUGAGAAAAAAAAUAGAUAGAAUGAAACUUAAAUGAGAAUUAAAAUGUCAGAAUGGAUCAAACAUAAAUUUUUUAUUAAACAAAAAAAUAAAAAUACAUAGGUAAUAGAUGAUGGAUCUAUUGCAACAGAAGACUCAUAUGUUGGAUUCAUGUUUAAGGUUCUAUAGUGCCCAUAACAUGAAUUGAACAGAUGGGUAUUCUGUUGCGACAGAUUAGUAAUCUGUUCCAACAGACUAUUAAUCUAUUGCACCAGAUUAGUAAUCUGUUCCAACACAAAGUAAUCUGUUGCAACAGAUUAUAAUUCUGUUGCAGCAGAUGGAUAAUCUGUUUUGAAUAAUACAAUACAACUCCAAUUACAAACCUAACAGAUAACCCGUAUAUUGAUCUCUUGCUAUUGAUACUGGAUUCAAAUUAUUCCUUAAUCGUAAACAUGUUUGUUAAGAAGAAAAAUAGACAGAAUGAAAAUUAAAUGAGAAUUAAAACGUCAAAGUAGAUCAAACAUAAAUUUUUUAUUAAAAAUAAAAAUAAAAAUACAUAGGUAAAAGAAAAAAAUAAUCUAAUUAUUAUUAUUAUUAUUAUUGCCAGUCGACCAAUAUUCAAUCGGCAGCAGCAACACCCUCCUCAUCCUGCGGAUCUCCCGCAGCAUCUUUACUCUGAUGUUGGCCAACUCCCACUAUAGGUCAUGAACCUGUGUCUAUAGUUUCCGCACGACUUCUCGUAAAAUAGCGAUAUCCCACACUAGAUCAGCCAUAUCUAGAACACACAUAAAUUGACAAAAACUGCAAAAAUAAAAGUAAAAAAUAGAAGAAUCUGAAAGUAAUACAACGUAUAUUUACACAAAAAAUAGGAAAAAAACUUACCAGAGAUAGGGAAAAGCUAUCAAGUCCUUAAAGAGAAAGUAGUUGAAGGUGAAAUAUAAAAGACAAGAGCAAGAAAUAAAUGGAGUGUAGUAGAAUGAACGAGUAAGGAGAGACCUAUUUAUAGAGAAUUGAAUUUGAAUGAGUUAGGCAAAAAGACGUGACUGUUCACCUCCAUUUAUUAAGUACAUCAAAACUGGCUACUUUUUGAUUACUGUAGAAAGUUAUGACUUAAUUAGUUCUUUUCAGUAACCAUUUUAUUGAGUUGUGGUAACAGAUUAUCUAUCUGUUGCAUCAGAUAACCCAUCUGUGGCAACAGAUAUACCAUUUAUUGCAAUAAAUUGACAAUCUAUUGCAUCAGAUAAUAUAUCUGUUGCAACAUAUAUCAUUUUUAGUAAUCAUCAUAUUUUUAUCUUUAAUCCAAAUUUGGUGACUUUUUUAUUAUGUAAAUUAAGAAAAUAGAUUAAAAAAUAAAAAUGUCGAAAAGUCACUACUUGUCGCCUAUUUAAACAUCAAUUAUUCAAAUUUAUGUUUAGUUAAGUUAUGAAUUAAUUAGUUCUUUUCAGUAACCAUUUUAUUGAGUUAUGCAACAGAUUAUAUAUAUCUUGCAUCAGAUAACCCAUCUGUGACAACAGGUAUACCAUUUAUUGCAACAAAUGGACAAUCUGUUACAUCAGAUAAUAUAUCAGUUGCAACAUAUAUCCUUUUUAAUAAUCAUCAUAUCUGUAUCUUUUAAUCCAAAUUUGGUGACUUUUUUAUUAUAUAAAUUAAAAAUAUAAAUUUAAAAAUAAAAAUGUCGAAAAGUACUACUUGUCGCCUAUUCCCUUCGUUUCGUAUUAGAAAGUUGGCACACCCAUUAAGAAAAAUAUUUAUUAGGGAUCUAUUUUACCAAAUUAUCUUUAUUAAUUAUGCUUUGAAAAUAUAUAAAUUUGAAUAUAUAAAUCAACAAUCUGUUGCAUCAAAAAGGCACGUCUGUUCACGUCCAUUUAUUAAUUACAUUCAAGCUGGUGACUUUUUGAUUACUGAGAAAAGUUAUGACUUAAUUAAGUCAAGCUGCUGACUGACUUUGGUUAUUGUAAUAAGUCUUAUUAUUGUUAAUUAGUUUUUUUCAGUAACCAUUUUUAUUGAGUUGUGGCAAUAGAUUAUAUAUCUGUUGCAUCAAAUAACCCAUCUGUGACAACAGAUAAUCUAUUUGUUGCAACAAAUCGACAAUUUGUUGCAUCAAAUAAUCUAUUUGUUGCACAUAUAAGCUAUCUUUUUUAAUAAUCAUCAUAUCUUUAAUUCAAAUUUGGUGACUUUUUAUUAUAUAAAUUUUAAAAAUAAAUUAAAAAAAAAUAUGUCGAAAAGUCACGAUCAGUUAUUAAAAUUAAAUAACCGUUCUUUUUAUGAUUAUAAAUUGUGUUUGUCAUUUAGUUUCUUAUUUUACAAAUCAUUUUUCAUAUGAAAUAAUUGAAAAGUCAUGACAAGACUUUUCACCCUCUCAAUAAUAAUAAUAACCUUUUUUUAAUUAAUAAUCGCAUGUUGCAACAUAUGGUCCAUCUGUCGUAACAGAUUAACCAUCUGUUGCAACAUAUGGUUCAUCCGUUUCCACAAACACUCAAUCCCUUCCUCCAAUCAUCGACUUGUUGAGAAUAAGGAAUAAACAAAACAAAAAUUAAAUAUUAAAUAAGAAUUAAAAAUCUAAAGUUGACCAAGAUUUUUGAAUCUCUUAGGUAGAUUCGAUAUAAAAAAGGAAAAUACAUACGCUAAAAGGAAAAACUAACCUAUUUAUUAUUACUGCUAUUAUUAUUAUCAUUAUUAUUAUUAUAAGUAUUACUAUUACUACUGUCAUUGUCUGAAGGCCAAUUUUCAUCCGGCAGCAGCAGGAUCCUCCUCAGCUUUGCUCUGAAGUCGGCUAAAUCCCUCUAAAGUUCAUUAUACUACAUUCAAAGUUCCCAUAAGGACUCGAUAUAAGUCUUCUUGUAUGAAUCUGGAUCAGCCAUAUCUAAAAGUGUAGUAGUAGAAUGAACAAGUAAGGAGGGACCUAUUUAUAAAGAAAGGGAUUAGUCAAAAAGCCAUGACUGUUCAUCCAUCCCUUAGUUAAAUAAAACUGACAACUUUUCAAAUAUGUAAAUUAAAAGAACGGAUCUAAAUAAAUAUUUUAUCUUUAUUGUAUUUCAAAAAAAAUAAUUUUUUUUUAAAAUAAAUCAAACAGUUGGGUAAUCUAUUGCAAAAUACAUUCUAUUUGUUAGAUAAUUUAUAAAAUAUUAAAAAUGUUGCAACAAAUGCAUAUAUCUAUUUAAUUUUUCAAAUAGAUAAGUCAUAUAUUGCAAAAGAUUGAUCAUAUGUCGUAACAAAUGUCUAUAAUUAUUUGAUAAUUUUAACAGGUUAGUGAUCGGGAGUUAAGCCAUAGAUGGGCUAGGAGGAAUAAGGUGCGUGUAGAUGGAUGGAUCCACUUUUAUGUGUGGGAGUUAUGUGUUACUGAUAAGGUUACCAGGACAACCACACAAAGUACAAUGUUUUUGUGAAUGCAGUUUUAAUUCAAUAGGCACUGAUCAUUCAAACGAGAUCCUGCAUUGUACAAUUAAGUUUGAUGGGUUCGAAUUGAUAAGGUUGAGGGCCCC
This 38815-nucleotide long non-coding RNA is filed under the name Capsicum annuum. RNAcentral describes it as "long non-coding RNA (CANN_LNC021563)". The record is from RNAcentral. Lineage: Eukaryota; Viridiplantae; Streptophyta; Magnoliopsida; Solanales; Solanaceae.